This 450-nucleotide ribosomal RNA is filed under the name uncultured bacterium. Its description in RNAcentral is "partial 16S ribosomal RNA". It matches the Rfam family "Bacterial small subunit ribosomal RNA", at positions 354 to 796 of the family's 1533-position model. The record is from RNAcentral.
GUGGGGAAUUUUGGACAAUGGGCGCAAGCCUGAUCCAGCAAUGCCGCGUGCAGGAAGAAGGCCUUCGGGUUGUAAACUGCUUUUGUACGGAACGAAACGGUCCGGGUUAAUACCCUGGGCUAAUGACGGUACCGUAAGAAUAAGCACCGGCUAACUACGUGCCAGCAGCCGCGGUAAUACGUAGGGUGCAAGCGUUAAUCGGAAUUACUGGGCGUAAAGCGUGCGCAGGCGGUUUUGUAAGACAGGCGUGAAAUCCCCGGGCUCAACCUGGGAAUUGCGCUUGUGACUGCAAGGCUGGAUUGCGGCAGAGGGGGAUGGAAUUCCGCGUGUAGCAGUGAAAUGCGUAGAUAUGCGGAGGAACACCGAUGGCGAAGGCAAUCCCCUGGGCCUGCACUGACGCUCAUGCACGAAAGCGUGGGGAGCAAACAGGAUUAGAAACCCUUGUAGUCC